This 1173-nucleotide long non-coding RNA is filed under the name Felis catus (domestic cat). Its description in RNAcentral is "lncRNA (ENSFCAG00000050128.1)". The record is from RNAcentral. Lineage: Eukaryota; Metazoa; Chordata; Mammalia; Carnivora; Felidae.
AUGCUCAUACAAAUUACUAUUUUACAGAGUAGGUUUUCUCAAGGAUAUGGUUUCUGGAAACUUCUGACCUGCUCCAAUCGAGAGAGGCUGCCUUCUCAGCUUGCUGACCCUACAUCCUGGGGAUUCCCAUCACCUUCUUCUUGCUUUGGGUUUCCUGGAUCCCUCUUCUUCCUCUCUUUUGGCUUACUGCCUUAUUUGGUAAAGCCCAUCCUCUUGGAGCUUCCUGAAAAAGGUUGUGUGGAAGAAACAAUGGAAAGUGUUGAAGAGGGACAGUGCAAGAUAACAUGCUGUUUGCAUAAGACAACUGAUGGAGCUGGUAUCAGACCUACAGUGGACAACAAACCCAUGAACGUGAUGAACUUACUUGUUCAUCAGGGAUUUAUGAAGUCCUCUCACAUUCUGGGCCUUGGGAGUAGAGGUUUCUGCCCUCAUGGAACACGAAGUACAGACAGUAAUCUUGUAAAUGCAAUAAAGUAUCAUAGGAACGUUGAUAGAAAUGUGUGUAGAAGGGACCGAUUUUGCAUGGUUUUGGGGGGUGUGUCACUUAUGGUUCACUUGGGCUAAAUCUUGAGACCUGUUAGUGUAUGCCCACUGGAAAGGAUUGGGGGAAAUACAUUCUGAGCAGAGGACUAGCAUGGAUAAAGGCCAAGAAGCAUAAAAUUGCCAGAUCAUCAGUAUCUAUGGAAUGUAAAAUACCAGUGGGGCAUGAGAAAAUUGUCUGGACUGGGAGGUUCUUGAUGCCAAGAAAGGAGUUGGAAUUUUAUCUUGUGGGCUAUGGAAACUGUUGGAGGAUUUUAAACUGGGAAGUACGUAAGCCAGUUUUGCAGCAAUAUUUUAAGCCAAAAUAAUGUCACGUGUUCCUCUGGUAACAAAUCAAAAAGUACGUAUUUCGGAAUGAAGGAUUCAGUUGCCUAGUACAGGGAGUGGUAGUUUUUCUUAGUGUUGUCUGUGCAGGUGGGACUCUUUCCUGAUGAGGACAGUUUGCGUGUAUGCUCUCACUGUGUGAUAGGGGAGUGCCAAUGAACAAGUGUCCCUUCAGAACAGAAUGCCAGAACCUAGGUGCAGAUUCCCGAAAUUCCUGAAUGAGGAGAGGCUGAACCUCCUGCCUCAACCCCACUGCAAUGGUCCCAAAUUCAACUUCUUUUAAUAAAUAUUUUGGUCAACUCUUAUGCA